Molecule: ribosomal RNA, 661 nt
Filed under: uncultured bacterium
Lineage: Bacteria
Description: bacterial SSU rRNA
Rfam family: Bacterial small subunit ribosomal RNA
Source: RNAcentral
UUAGAAUGCAGUCGCACGGGACAGCAUGAGUAGUAAUACGAUUGCUGUUUAGUGGCGCACGGGUGAGUAACACGUGAAUUACAUGCCCUUCAGUGGGGAAUAGCCCAGGGAAACUUGGAUUAAUACCCCAUGGUAUCGCAAGAUUAAAGGUGGCCGCAAGGCUGCCGCUGAAGGAUUGGUUCGCGCCCUAUCAGCUUGUUGGUGAGGUAACGGCUCACCAAGGCUACGACGGGUACCUGGUCUGAGAGGACGAUCAGGCACACUGGAACUGAGACACGGUCCAGACACCUACGGGUGGCAGCAGUCGAGAAUAAUUCACAAUGGGCGAAAGCCUGAUGGUGCAACGCCGCGUGGAGGAUGACGGUCUUCGGAUUGUAAACUCCUGUCAUCCGGGAGAAAGACCUGGCCGUUAAUAGCGGACAGGGUUGAUAGUACCGGAAGAGGAAGGGACGGCUAACUUCGUGCCAGCAGCCGCGGUAAUACGAAGGUCCCGAGCGUUGUUCGGAAUCACUGGGCGUAAAGGGAGCGUAUGCGGCGCGGUAAGUCGGAUGUGAAAUCCCGGGGCUCAACCCCGGAACUGCAUCUGAUACUGCCGUGCUUGAGCAAUGGAGGGGUAGCUGGAAUUCUCGGUGUAGCAGUGAAAUGCGUAGAUAUCGAGAGG